CAAGCUUGCUUGGUGGAUCAGUGGCGAACGGGUGAGUAACACGUGAGCAACCUGCCCUGGACUCUGGGAUAAGCGCUGGAAACGGCGUCUAAUACUGGAUAUGAGCCUCUUCCGCAUGGUGGGGGUUGGAAAGAUUUUUUGGUCUGGGAUGGGCUCGCGGCCUAUCAGCUUGUUGGUGAGGUAAUGGCUCACCAAGGCGUCGACGGGUAGCCGGCCUGAGAGGGUGACCGGCCACACUGGGACUGAGACACGGCCCAGACUCCUACGGGAGGCAGCAGUGGGGAAUAUUGCACAAUGGGCGAAAGCCUGAUGCAGCAACGCCGCGUGAGGGAUGACGGCCUUCGGGUUGUAAACCUCUUUUAGCAGGGAAGAAGCGAAAGUGACGGUACCUGCAGAAAAAGCGCCGGCUAACUACGUGCCAGCAGCCGCGGUAAUACGUAGGGCGCAAGCGUUAUCCGGAAUUAUUGGGCGUAAAGAGCUCGUAGGCGGUUUGUCGCGUCUGCUGUGAAAUCCCGAGGCUCAACCUCGGGCCUGCAGUGGGUACGGGCAGACUAGAGUGCGGUAGGGGAGAUUGGAAUUCCUGGUGUAGCGGUGGAAUGCGCAGAUAUCAGGAGGAACACCGAUGGCGAAGGCAGAUCUCUGGGCCGUAACUGACGCUGAGGAGCGAAAGGGUGGGGAGCAAACAGGCUUAGAUACCCUGGUAGUCCACCCCGUAAACGUUGGGAACUAGUUGUGGGGACCAUUCCACGGUUUCCGUGACGCAGCUAACGCAUUA
This 775-nucleotide ribosomal RNA is filed under the name Microbacterium sp. RNAcentral describes it as "bacterial SSU rRNA". It matches the Rfam family "Bacterial small subunit ribosomal RNA", at positions 75 to 862 of the family's 1533-position model. The record is from RNAcentral. Lineage: Bacteria; Bacillati; Actinomycetota; Actinomycetes; Micrococcales; Microbacteriaceae.